CACCACUCAAGCCUGGCUUGGUAUUGGGCGCCGCGGUCUCCCCCGCGCGCCCCAAUGUCUUCGGCCGAGCCGUCCGUCUCUAAGCGUUGUGGCAUUUUCAUUCGCUUGCGAGGCCGGACGCGUUCGCCGCCGCUAAACAUCAUAUGAACAA
Molecule: unclassified non-coding RNA, 151 nt
Filed under: uncultured Ascomycota
Lineage: Eukaryota; Fungi; Ascomycota
Description: sequence contains ITS2
Source: RNAcentral